This 450-nucleotide ribosomal RNA is filed under the name uncultured bacterium. RNAcentral describes it as "partial 16S ribosomal RNA". It matches the Rfam family "Bacterial small subunit ribosomal RNA", at positions 354 to 796 of the family's 1533-position model. The record is from RNAcentral.
GUGGGGAAUCUUCCGCAAUGGACGAAAGUCUGACGGAGCAACGCCGCGUGAGUGAAGAAGGUUUUCAGAUCGUAAAGCUCUUUCGUUAGGGACGAACGUGCUCUUUGUGAAUAAUGAGGAGUAAUGACGGUACCUAAAUAAGAAGCCACGGCUAACUACGUGCCAGCAGCCGCGGUAAUACGUAGGUGGCAAGCGUUGUCCGGAAUUAUUGGGCGUAAAGCGCGCGCAGGCGGGAUAUCAAGUCUGUCUUAAAAGUGCGAGGCUCAACCUCGUGAGGGGACAGAAACUGGUAUUCUUGAGUGUCGGAGAGGAAUGUGGAAUUCCAAGUGUAGCGGUGAAAUGCGUAGAGAUUUGGAAGAACACCAGUGGCGAAGGCGACUUUCUGGACGAUGUCUGACGCUGAGGCGCGAAAGCUAGGGGAGCGAACGGGAUUAGAUACCCCAGUAGUCC